AGGACGAACGCUGGCGGCGUGCUUAACACAUGCAAGUCGAGCGGAAAGGCCCUUCGGGGUACUCGAGCGGCGAACGGGUGAGUAACACGUGAGUAAUCUGCCCCUAGCUCUGGGAUAGCUCCGGGAAAACCGGGAUUAAUACCGGAUACGACCACCUUAGACAUCUUUUGUGGUGGAAAGAAUUUCGGCUAGGGAUGAGCUCGCGGCCUAUCAGCUUGUUGGUGGGGUAACGCCUACCAAGGCGACGACGGGUA
This 254-nucleotide ribosomal RNA is filed under the name uncultured bacterium. Its description in RNAcentral is "partial small subunit ribosomal RNA". It matches the Rfam family "Bacterial small subunit ribosomal RNA", at positions 26 to 285 of the family's 1533-position model. The record is from RNAcentral.